This 1443-nucleotide ribosomal RNA is filed under the name metagenome. Its description in RNAcentral is "bacterial LSU rRNA". It matches the Rfam family "Bacterial large subunit ribosomal RNA", at positions 822 to 2352 of the family's 2925-position model. The record is from RNAcentral.
CAAAAAGGCCAAUCAAACUGAGAGAUAGCUCGUUCUCCCCGAAAUGUUUUUAGGAACAGCGUCGCAUACAGAGGUCUGUGAGAGGUAGAGCUACUGAUUGGGCUAGGGGGCUUCACCGCCUGCCAAACCCUGACAAACUCCGAAUGCUCACAGAUAUCUGCGGCAGUGAGGCUGCGGGCGCUAAGGUCCGUGGCCGAGAGGGAAAUAACCCAGAUUAGCGGCUAAGGUCCCCAAUACAUGGUUAAGUUGAGCAAACGAGGUGGGAUUUCCAUGACAGCCAGGAUGUUUGCUUGGAAGCAGCCAUUCAUUUAAAGAGUGCGUAACAGCUCACUGGUCGAGAGGUCCUGCACGGAAAAUGAUCGGGCAUCAAACCAUGAACCGAAGCCCUAAACUCCAUAUUUAUAUGGAUUGGUAGGGGAGCAUUGAAAACGGCGCUGAAGGUGUGCGGUGACGCAUGCUGGUGCGUUUUCAAACGAAAAUGUAGGCAUAAGUAACGAUAAGGGGAGUGAAAAACUCCCCCGCCGUAAGACUAAGGGUUCCUGAUCAACGUUAAUCGGAUCAGGGUUAGCCGGGACCUAAGGCAGAGCCGAAAGGCGCAGUCGAUGGAGAGCUGGUCAAAAUUCCAGCGCAUGCCGCGCGUUAAAAGGGACGGAGAGGCGUACCUGGCACGGACUGACGGAAUAGUCCGUAGAGGCGAAGCUUCGGCGGAGCCGAGACAGGGAACCCGCUUCCAAGAAAAGCGAGCGCGGCAUCCCGUACCGUAAACCGACACAGGUAGUCGGGAAGAAUAUUCCAAGGCGCUCGGGUGAGCCGUGGAGAAGGAACUAGGCAAAUUGACGCUGUAACUUCGGGAUAAGGCGUUCCCGCUUCUGGCGGGACACAGUAAAUUGGCGCAACCAACUGUUUAACAAAAACACAGGGCCCUGCAAAAUCGCAAGAUGACGUAUAGAGCCUGAUACCUGCCCGGUGCCAGAAGGUUAAGGAAGGAUGUUCGCAGCGAUGCAAAGCUUCUGACUGAAGCCCCGGUAAACGGCGGCCGUAACUAUAACGGUCCUAAGGUAGCGAAAUUCCUUGUCGGGUAAGUUCCGACCUGCACGAAUGGUCUAAUGAGUUGCGCACUGUCUCCUCCACGAGCCCGGUGAAAUUGUAGUAUCGGUGAAGAUGCCGGUUACCCGUCACGGGACGGAAAGACCCCAUGAACCUUCACUAUAGCUUUGCGUUGAUUUUGAGCAACCGGUGUGUAGGAUAGUUGGGAGGCUUUGAAGUGGUGUCGCCAGGCAUCAUGGAGCCGACGUUGAAAUACCAACCUCCUGUUGCUUAGAACCUAACCCCUUGCGGGGGACAUUGCAUGGUGGGUAGUUUGACUGGGGUGGUCGCCUCCUAAAAAGUAACGGAGGCUUGCAAAGGUUCCCUCAGUACGGUUGGUAAUCGUACGCAGAGCCU